ACCUUUACCUGGCAUACAGGUUUUACAGUGAUCCGCAAAGGCUGUGGGGUCUGGCGAGACCUUCCAUUGCAUGCCAUCGGCUUGGUUGAUCUCGCGAUCGUCCCAAUGUGGACGACUCGGGCGCGCAAUUUAUAAGUGUGGGGACUGCGUUCGCGCUCUCCCCU
Haliotis rubra (blacklip abalone) is the source of this 164-nucleotide small nuclear RNA. RefSeq annotates it as U1 spliceosomal RNA. The transcript has a single exon. The record is from RefSeq and is a predicted model, not a curated record. NCBI's taxonomy places the organism in Eukaryota, Metazoa, Mollusca, Gastropoda, Lepetellida, Haliotidae.